GUGCAGCAGGCGCGAAAACUUCACACUGUGCGAAAGCACGAUGAGGGAAUCCCAAGUGCUUGCACGUAAGUGUAAGCUGUUUCUCUGUCUAAAACGCAGAGAGAGUAAGGGCUGGGUAAGACGGGUGCCAGCCGCCGCGGUAAUACCUGCAGCUCAAGUGGUGACCGUUAUUAUUGGGCCUAAAACGUCCGUAGCCGGUUUAAUAAAUGCCUGGGUAAAUUGUGUAGCUUAACUAUACGAAUUCCGGGUAGACUGUUAAACUUGAGACCGGGAGAAGUUAGAGGUACUCCUGGGGUAGAGGUGAAAUUCUGUAAUCCUAGGGGGACCACCAGUGGCGAAGGCGUCUAACUAGAACGGGUCUGACGGUGAGGGACGAAGCCCUGGGGCGCAAACGGGAUUAGAUACCCGGGUAGU
RNAcentral lists this ribosomal RNA (414 nucleotides) under uncultured microorganism. Its description in RNAcentral is "bacterial SSU rRNA". It matches the Rfam family "Archaeal small subunit ribosomal RNA", at positions 330 to 745 of the family's 1478-position model. The record is from RNAcentral.